Molecule: ribosomal RNA, 384 nt
Filed under: uncultured Acidobacteriota bacterium
Lineage: Bacteria; Pseudomonadati; Acidobacteriota
Description: bacterial SSU rRNA
Rfam family: Bacterial small subunit ribosomal RNA
Source: RNAcentral
AAGUCCCGCAACGAGCGCAACCCUUGUCUUCUGUUGCCAUCGGGUCAAGCCGGGCACUCUGAAGAGACUGCCGGUGACAAACCGGAGGAAGGUGGGGAUGACGUCAAGUCAGCAUGGCCUUUAUGUCUGGGGCCACACACGUGCUACAAUGGCCGGUACAAACCGUCGCGAGCCCGCGAGGGGGAGCUAAUCGGAGAAAGCCGGUCUCAGUUCGGAUUGUAGGCUGCAGGAGGGCCUGCAUGAAGUUGGAAUCGCUAGUAAUCGCGAAUCAGCACGCCGCGGUGAAUACGUUCCCGGGCUUCAGUUCUCACCGCCCGUCACAUCACGAAAGCUGGCUGUACGGGACUUCUAAGCCAACCCGCAAGGGAGGCAAGUUCCUAAGGU